Non-coding RNA from Phoenix dactylifera (date palm), 1188 nucleotides. NCBI's taxonomy places the organism in Eukaryota, Viridiplantae, Streptophyta, Magnoliopsida, Arecales, Arecaceae. The record is from RefSeq and is a predicted model, not a curated record.
UGGAAUUUGAUAAGGCUCGGGAUCAAGUUAGAUAAGGACAGCGACAUAAUUUAGAGGGAGGGAAGAAGAGGUGAAGAGAAGGAGAUGGUGAGAAUGAUGAGGGAUAAGAAAAGAAGAAAAGAAGAUAUUUUUUAAUAAAUAAGUCAUUUUCAUCAAGGCAAAAUUAUUCUUCAUGGCGAUGCCUUCGCAAUAUUAAAUAUCAAAUAGAGUUUUAGGACAUAUUGAACUAUUUAACUAACUUUAGAAAUCACUUUUAGCAUUUUUUAAAUUUUGAGAGGUACAAUAUGAAACUGACCAGAAUAUUUAAAUAACUUUCUAAAUUAUUUUGUUGGAUUCUUAUUUUAGAACAGAGAGGCUUGUAAACAAGUGGAGAGUGGGGGAGAUCCUUGGUUACUUCCAAUUAGGUGGGAAUGUUAGUGAAUGCAUGGGAUUUCGAGAUGAUAGAUACAGUGUCGCCCGCAGUCUCCAUUGUUCAUUCGUGUGAUGGAACCUACAAUUUCUAUACCGCAUCCUGUGGUUCAGAUAGGUGGAUGAGAAUCAAUUAUUGGCUUUAAAGUACAUUUUGUUAACCCAAGUAAAAGUUUCUCAGUAGGAUUAGGCAUCUGAGCUCGAGCUGGUCAGAAGCAAGGGAUGCAAACUCGGAACCUUAUAGUUCAAAUUAAUAUCUUAGUUCGCUUCUCAGUAAUAAAAGAUGGGUAAACACUUACAACUUUUCUUUUUUUUUUUCCGCUCAUACCAUGUACGAAUAUACCGAAUAAAAUCAAAAAAACACUUGCAACUUGGAUGGAGAAAUUCCAACCUAUGGGAGAUAAAUUGACAUUGGUGAACUUGAAUAUACCAACAUACUUUGUUAAGAGAAUUGAUGUGACCCGGAGAGCUUUCCUUUUGGAAAGGGGAAGAAAAGUGAAAGGCUUCUCCUGCUUGCUUGACUGGAGACAUGUCAGCAAAUCAAAGGAAAAAGUAGUAGAGGAGCGGCUAUAGUUAAUGAUAGAUAUGGGAGAGGAGAAGGGAAUCUCAGAGACUUGGACCAUACAAGUUUACAACAAUCCUAAGAGCACUAUAUAUAUUUAUAUAUUGAAAACCAAAAUUUAGAAAAUAUAAAUCUAAUACAUCAAAAAUGAUAAAAAUAAAACAAGCAUCACACAUCACACACCUUCUUCUGUACUUCAGUUCUUCCCCCUCAAUCCC